GACGGACGCUGGCGGCGUGCUUAACACAUGCAAGUCGAACGGUAAGGCCCUUCGGGGUACACGAGUGGCGAACGGGUGAGUAACACGUGGGUGAUCUGCCCUGCACUUCGGGAUAAGCCUGGGAAACUGGGUCUAAUACCGGAUAGGACUCCGGACUGCAUGGUCUGGGGUGGAAAGCUUUUGCGGGGUGGGAUGGGCCCGCGGCCUAUCAGCUUGUUGGUGGGGUGAUGGCCUACCAAGGCGACGACGGGUAGCCGGCCUGGAAGGGUGACCGGCCACACUGGGACUGGGAUACGGGCCAGACUCCUACGGGAGGCAGCAGUGGGGAAUAUUGCACAAUGGGCGCAAGCCUGAUGCAGCGACGCCGCGUGAGGGAUGACGGCCUUCGGGUUGUAAACCUCUUUCAGCAUCGACGAAGCGAAAGUGACGGUAGGUGCAGAAGAAGGACCGGCCAACUACGUGCCAGCCGCCGCAGUAA
This 478-nucleotide ribosomal RNA is filed under the name uncultured bacterium. Its description in RNAcentral is "partial 16S ribosomal RNA". It matches the Rfam family "Bacterial small subunit ribosomal RNA", at positions 28 to 523 of the family's 1533-position model. The record is from RNAcentral.